CCUCUCUGCGUCCACUUCCUUAAGAAGGCUCUUGCUCCAAUCUUCUCAAGCCAUCUCCACACACAUUCCUCACUCUUGAACACACAGAACCUCAAUUGAUCAGAAUGGCCGCAACGACCAUGUCACUCUCUUCCCCAGCCUUUGCUGGCAAGGCAGUGAAGAACUUGCCAUCAUCGUCUCUUUUUGGCGAGGCACGUGUCACCAUGCGCAAGACGGCGGCAAAGGCCAAGCAGGUUGCCUCCGACAGCCCAUGGUACGGCUCUGACCGUGUGCUCUACCUCGGUCCGCUUUCUGGCGAGCCCCCGAGCUACCUCACCGGGGAGUUCCCUGGUGACUACGGCUGGGACACUGCCGGGUUAUCAGCUGACCCUGAGACCUUCGCCAAGAACCGUGAGCUGGAGGUGAUUCAUUGUCGGUGGGCUAUGCUUGGCGCACUCGGUUGUGUCUUCCCCGAGCUGCUUGCCCGCAACGGUGUUAAGUUUGGUGAGACUGUUUGGUUCAAGGCUGGAUCCCAGAUCUUCAGCGAGGGCGGCCUCGACUACCUUGGCAACCCAAGCCUCGUGCACGCGCAAAGCAUCCUUGCCAUCUGGGCGUGUCAGGUCGUGCUCAUGGGCGCCGUCGAGGGUUACCGCAUUGCCGGAGGACCACUUGGUGAGAUUGUUGACCCGCUCUACCCAGGCGGCAGCUUCGACCCGCUUGGUCUUGCCGACGACCCCGAGGCAUUUGCUGAGCUCAAGGUUAAGGAGAUCAAGAACGGUCGCCUCGCCAUGUUCUCCAUGUUUGGUUUCUUUGUGCAAGCCAUUGUCACUGGCAAGGGUCCACUUGAGAACCUCGCCGACCACCUCUCCGACCCUGUCAACAACAAUGCUUGGGCAUUCGCCACCAACUUUGUUCCUGGGAAAUAAGCUGCUGGAUCCCAGAUCUUCAGCGAGGGCGGCCUCGACUACCUUGGCAACCCAAGCCUCGUGCACGCGCAAAGCAUCCUUGCCAUCUGGGCGUGUCAGGUCGUGCUCAUGGGCGCCGUCGAGGGUUACCGCAUUGCCGGAGGACCACUUGGUGAGAUUGUUGACCCGCUCUACCCAGGCGGCAGCUUCGACCCGCUUGGUCUUGCCGACGACCCCGAGGCAUUUGCUGAGCUCAAGGUUAAGGAGAUCAAGAACGGUCGCCUCGCCAUGUUCUCCAUGUUUGGUUUCUUUGUGCAAGCCAUUGUCACUGGCAAGGGUCCACUUGAGAACCUCGCCGACCACCUCUCCGACCCUGUCAACAACAAUGCUUGGGCAUUCGCCACCAACUUUGUUCCUGGGAAAUAAGCUGUCCUAGAGACUAUGCUCGCGGUGAAGUGUGCCGUCGUGCAGUCUAAUUUGUACUAUCAUAUUGUAAAUUACAAGGAUUUUGUGCAAAAGCAUUACAAGAUUUGCCCGCCUUC
RNA transcript from Hordeum vulgare subsp. vulgare (domesticated barley), 1426 nucleotides. It is a transcript of the gene named chlorophyll a-b binding protein of LHCII type 1-like, with no coding region annotated. The transcript is spliced from 2 exons. NCBI's taxonomy places the organism in Eukaryota, Viridiplantae, Streptophyta, Magnoliopsida, Poales, Poaceae. The record is from RefSeq and is a predicted model, not a curated record.